UACGUAGGGUCCAAGCGUUAUCCGGAAUUACUGGGCGUAAAGCGUGUGUAGGCGGCGUGUUAAGUGAAAUGCGAAAUCUUGUGGCUCAACCAUAUAGACUGUAUUUCAUACUGGCAUGCUUGAGGACGGCAGAGGCAAGUGGAAUUGGUAGUGUAGCAGUGAAAUGCGUAGAUAUUACCAGGAACACCAAUGGCGAAGGCAGCUUGCUGGGCCGUAUCUGACGCUGAGACACGAAAGCGUGGGGAGCGAACAGG
This 254-nucleotide ribosomal RNA is filed under the name uncultured bacterium. Its description in RNAcentral is "partial 16S ribosomal RNA". It matches the Rfam family "Bacterial small subunit ribosomal RNA", at positions 524 to 776 of the family's 1533-position model. The record is from RNAcentral.